CGAACCGUGCGAACGUUGUUCGGAAUCACUGGGCUUAAAGGGCGCGUAGGCGGGCGGCCAAGUCCGGGGUGAAAGCCCCCAGCUCAACUGGGGAAGUGCCUCGGAUACUGGUCGCCUCGAGGGAGGUAGGGGCGUGCGGAACUUCCGGUGGAGCGGUGAAAUGCGUAGAUAUCGGAAGGAACACCGGUGGCGAAAGCGGCGCGCUGGACCUCUGCUGACGCUGAGGCGCGAAAGCCAGGGGAGCAAACGGGAUUAGAUACCCCGGUAGUCCUGGCCCUAAACGUUGGGCACCAGGUAGUGGACUUACAUGGGUUCACUGCCGAGGCAAAAGUGUUAAGUGCCCCGCCUGGGGAGUAUGGUCGCAAGGCUG
This 370-nucleotide ribosomal RNA is filed under the name uncultured organism. RNAcentral's name for it is "bacterial SSU rRNA". It matches the Rfam family "Bacterial small subunit ribosomal RNA", at positions 526 to 896 of the family's 1533-position model. The record is from RNAcentral.